UACGGAGGAUGCGAGCGUUAUCCGGAUUUAUUGGGUUUAAAGGGUGCGUAGGCGGGCUUUUAAGUCAGCGGUAAAAAUUCGGGGCUCAACCCCGUCCGGCCGUUGAAACUGGGGGUCUUGAGUGGGCGAGAAGAAGGCGGAAUGCGUGGUGUAGCGGUGAGAUGCAUAGAUAUCACGCAGAACCCCGAUUGCGAAGGCAGCCUUCCGGCGCCCUACUGACGCUGAGGCACGAAAGUGCGGGGAUCGAACAGG
RNAcentral lists this ribosomal RNA (252 nucleotides) under uncultured bacterium. RNAcentral describes it as "partial 16S ribosomal RNA". It matches the Rfam family "Bacterial small subunit ribosomal RNA", at positions 524 to 776 of the family's 1533-position model. The record is from RNAcentral.